Molecule: long non-coding RNA, 1258 nt
Filed under: Scophthalmus maximus (turbot)
Lineage: Eukaryota; Metazoa; Chordata; Actinopteri; Pleuronectiformes; Scophthalmidae
Description: lncRNA (ENSSMAG00000027998.1)
Source: RNAcentral
CUGAACGACAAGGCGGAACCGUUUCUGUCUGUGUGUACAAAAUGUUUUUCCUUCACCGUUGAUAGUCGAGUCGUGACCGACAAGCGAACUGUGCUUGCAAACUUCCAAGACAGCAGGUACCUCAACCUAGCAGCAGUUAAUGCAUUUCGAAACAAAGAUGUAGCAAAAUGGACUCACACCUGCGUUGCUUUGCUUGUCGGUGGGCGUUGCCUGACGCUUUGCGAUGGCGUUACGUCAUAACAACAACAACCAAUCAGUUGUGUGCUCCGGAAACACGCGGCAUAUGCGGCUAUCAGGUAAAUACGCGGGAAAUACAUCCCACGACCAGAUGCACGCACACCGGAGUAAACAGCUGCCUCCUCUCUCCGCGCUCAUUUGAACGUUUCACGUCAAGGUUCGUGAAGAGCAUUAGCGUGAUUUGAUUGGUUAGCGCCCUGCGCUGGCGCCGUCUGUUCAAACGCGAUGUGAUUGGCUGCCUCCCCGCGCAGCCGUUUGAAAAGUUGAGGCGCGCAUUUAGCGCGAGCGCCGCCUUGUUGUUGUUGUUAGCACCGGUUAGCACCUGGAGCUAGCUAGCUAGCUAGCUAGCUAGCAGCGAGCGAGCUGAGUCACUCUGACAAGACUCGAAGCUUUUCCCAAAGAAAGAGAGUGAAGACGACAGGUGAAGGUGAAACGAGAGGAGAUGGAGUUUUAUCUCCCGUGUGGUUGAAGCAGCAGAGGAGUCAGGACGUGAGCACAAACUCGGGUCGCUGUUCCAGGUUGCCGGUGCCUGUCCACACCACUGUGAUGACGGAGAGAGAAAACAGCCCUGAUGUACGAUUCCUGGUCUGUCACGACAGGCACAGACAGCGGCCACCAAACGCAGUGGACUCCCUGACAGCUCCGUCUGGCUGCUCCAAAUCACACAGACAGGCCUUUUUCCUGCGACGACUGUGGCCAGUUCACAGAAACAGGCAGAAAUCACUCGUCUUCUCCAUUAAUAGCGUUGAAGUGUUGAAACAUCAUCUUGUGCCUCAUCGUUCGCAGGUAGGGUGUCAUGCUUCUCCAAUUAAUUGCUCGCCUGCCAAAUGUAUCUUUGCACAUUAUCUUGUUCUAUCUUUUGAUUGCAUGUGCUUAAUCCUUAUCAUAAUUGGAGUUGCACACUGCCACUGGGCCAGUCAUGUCUCAUACCAAAUUAGGCUUAAAAUUGUUUACUGGAAUUUGGAUGCUGCUCACUUUAGCUAUGAAUUUAAUAUCACAGAAACCAAUUAUGCUAAUAAAG